AGUUUGAUCCUGGCUCAGGAUGAACGCUAGCUACAGGCUUAACACAUGCAAGUCGAGGGGCAGCGUUGGAGUAGCAAUACUUCAGAUGGCGACCGGCGCACGGGUGAGUAACACGUAUCCAACCUGCCGCUUACUCGGGGAUAGCCUUUCGAAAGAAAGAUUAAUACCCGAUGGUAUAAAGAGUUCGCAUGUUCUCUUUAUUAAAGAAUUUCGGUAAGCGAUGGGGAUGCGUUCCAUUAGAUAGUUGGCGGGGUAACGGCCCACCAAGUCUACGAUGGAUAGGGGUUCUGAGAGGAAGGUCCCCCACAUUGGAACUGAGACACGGUCCAAAUCCUACGGGAGGCAGCAGUGAGGAAUAUUGGUCAAUGGACGAGAGUCUGAACCAGCCAAGUAGCGUGAAGGAUGACUGCCCUAUGGGUUGUAAACUUCUUUUAUAAGGGAAUAAAGUGAGGGACGUGUCCCUUUUUGUAUGUACCUUAUGAAUAAGGAUCGGCUAACUCCGUGCCAGCAGCCGCGGUAAUACGGAGGAUCCAAGCGUUAUCCGGAUUUAUUGGGUUUAAAGGGAGCGUAGGUUGACAUAUAAGUCAGCUGUGAAAGUUUACGGCUCAACCGUGAAAUUGCAGUUGAUACUGUAUGUCUUGAGUGUACAAGAGGUGGGCGGAAUUCGUGGUGUAGCGGUGAAAUGCUUAGAUAUCACGAAGAACUCCAAUUGCGAAGGCAGCUCACUGGGGUACAACUGACACUGAGGCUCGAAAGUGUGGGUAUCAAACAGGAUUAGAUACCCUGGUAGUCCACACAGUAAACGAUGAAUACUCGCUGUUUGCGAUAUACAGUAAGCGGCCAAGCGAAAGCAUUAAGUAUUCCACCUGGGGAGUACGCCGGCAACGGUGAAACUCAAAGGAAUUGACGGGGGCCCGCACAAGCGGAGGAACAUGUGGUUUAAUUCGAUGAUACGCGAGGAACCUUACCCGGGCUUGAAUUGCAGAGGAAUAUAGUUGAAAGAUUAUAGCCGCAAGGUCUCUGUGAAGGUGCUGCAUGGUUGUCGUCAGCUCGUGCCGUGAGGUGUCGGCUUAAGUGCCAUAACGAGCGCAACCCUUAUCAUUAGUUACUAACAGGUCAUGCUGAGGACUCUAGUGAGACUGCCGUCGUAAGAUGUGAGGAAGGUGGA
This 1168-nucleotide ribosomal RNA is filed under the name uncultured Bacteroides sp. RNAcentral describes it as "bacterial SSU rRNA". It matches the Rfam family "Bacterial small subunit ribosomal RNA", at positions 10 to 1177 of the family's 1533-position model. The record is from RNAcentral. Lineage: Bacteria; Pseudomonadati; Bacteroidota; Bacteroidia; Bacteroidales; Bacteroidaceae.